GAUGAAGAACGUAGUGAAAUGCGAUACUUGGUGUGAAUUGCAGAAUCCCGUGAACCAUCGAGUCUUUGAACGCAAGUUGCGCCUCAAGCCAUUAGGUUGAGGGCACGUCUGCCUGGGCGUCACAUAUCGUUGCCUGAUGCCAGUUUCCUCGUGAUGGGUGACUGUGCAGGGCGAAUGAUGGCUUCCCGUGAGCAUUGUUGCCUCAUGGUUGGUUGAAAAUUGAGUCCUUGGUAGGGAGCGCCGUGAUAGAUGGUGGUUGAGUGACGAACGAGACCCAAUCAUGUGAGACCCCUACCGAAUUUGGCCUUCAUGACCCACAUGCGUCUUUGGAACGCUCAUGACGAGACCUCAGGUCAGGCGGGGCUACCCGCUGAGUUUAAGCAUAUCAAUAAGCGGAGGA
Molecule: unclassified non-coding RNA, 400 nt
Filed under: soil metagenome
Description: partial contains 5.8S ribosomal RNA, internal transcribed spacer 2, and large subunit ribosomal RNA
Rfam family: 5.8S ribosomal RNA (bases 1-122)
Source: RNAcentral